UCUCCUGGAAAAGGGUGGUAAUGCCGGAUGUUCCAGUUGAUCGCAUGGUCUUCUGGGAAAGCUUUCGCGGUAUGGGAUGGGGUCGCGUCCUAUCAGCUUGACGGCGGGGUAACGGCCCACCGUGGCUUCGACGGGUAGCCGGCCUGAGAGGGCGACCGGCCACAUUGGGACUGAGAUACGGCCCAGACUCCUACGGGAGGCAGCAGUGGGGAAUAUUGCACAAUGGGCGCAAGCCUGAUGCAGCGACGCCGCGUGAGGGAUGGAGGCCUUCGGGUUGUAAACCUCUUUUAUCGGGGAGCAAGCGUGAGUGAGUUUACCCGUUGAAUAAGCACCGGCUAACUACGUGCCAGCAGCCGCGGUAAUACGUAGGGUGCAAGCGUUAUCCGGAAUUAUUGGGCGUAAAGGGCUCGUAGGCGGUUCGUCGCGUCCGGUGUGAAAGUCCAUCGCUUAACGGUGGAUCCGCGCCGGGUACGGGCGGGCUUGAGUGCGGUAGGGGAGACUGGAAUUCCCGGUGUAACGGUGGAAUGUGUAGAUAUCGG
Molecule: ribosomal RNA, 539 nt
Filed under: Bifidobacterium longum subsp. infantis
Lineage: Bacteria; Bacillati; Actinomycetota; Actinomycetes; Bifidobacteriales; Bifidobacteriaceae
Description: bacterial SSU rRNA
Rfam family: Bacterial small subunit ribosomal RNA
Source: RNAcentral